Molecule: transfer RNA, 85 nt
Filed under: Thermoplasmatales archaeon
Lineage: Archaea; Methanobacteriati; Thermoplasmatota; Thermoplasmata; Thermoplasmatales
Description: tRNA-Ala
Source: RNAcentral
GGGCCGGUAGAUCAGCUGGAAGAUCGCCACCUUGGCAUGGUGGAGGUCUCGGGUUCAAAGAGGGGGUUGCACCCCCUUCACCCCU